This 775-nucleotide ribosomal RNA is filed under the name uncultured Neocallimastigales. RNAcentral's name for it is "partial large subunit ribosomal RNA". It matches the Rfam family "Eukaryotic large subunit ribosomal RNA", at positions 22 to 649 of the family's 3401-position model. Lineage: Eukaryota; Fungi; Neocallimastigomycota; Neocallimastigomycetes; Neocallimastigales. The record is from RNAcentral.
GUACACGCUGUGACUAGCAUAUCAAUAAGCGGAGGAAAAGAAACUAACAAGGAUUCCCUUAGUAACGGCGAGUGAAGCGGGAAGAGCUCAAAUUUGAAAUCUUCAAGGUUUUACCUUGACGAAUUGUAGUUUAAAGAAGUGUUUUCUGCUGAAGUUUAGGUAAAAGUUCUUUGGAAUAGGACAUCAUAGAGGGUGAGAAUCCCGUAUUUGACCAUUAUUUUCAGCUUUGUGAUACACUUUCAAAGAGUCGGAUUGUUUGGGAAUGCAGUCCAAAAUGGGUGGUAAAUUUCAUCUAAAGCUAAAUAUUGGCGAGAGACCGAUAGCGAACAAGUACCGUGAGGGAAAGAUGAAAAGAACUUUGAAAAGAGAGUUAAACAGUACGUGAAAUUGUCAAAAGGGAAGCGUUUGACACCAGUGUUGUUUUCUCGAAAAUCAAUUAAAAAUGGCUCGAUUUUGUAUUGCUUGAGACCUUAAAAGCUCACCGUACAUUUUUCGUGUCUUUUUUAAUGCACUUUACGUUUAACAAGUCAACAUCAGUUUCUUUUGUUGUAAAAGGGUCAUUGGAAGGUGGCUUUCUUUUCGGAGAAAGUGUUUAUAGCCUUUGGCCUCUGCAAUCGAAGAGACUGAGGUCUGCAGCGUAGACUCUUCGGGGUUAGAUGCAUUUGUGCUAAGUUAUAGCUUUUUAUAGACAACUUGUUGACUAUAAUUAGUCUUGUAGCUUACUCGCUUAUGCUAUUUUACCUACGCUUAGGAUGUUGAGUAGCGACAUACGCAC